CUUGUCGCCUGAAGUUGGGCUCCUGGGAAGGGGCUCUAAAGCGAGGAUUUGGGGCAAGGAGAUUAUGGGAGAGUAGCAGACGUCAGAAGCCCAGUUGUGCAGCCCAGGGCGCUGCGCCCGGUAGACUCAGCAUGCGGAAGGUGGUCCUUGGAAACGCAUCAGCUGUCUCCCUCUGCAUCCUUUUGUCACAUGACCCAGCGGAACCAAUCAAGAUGCCAGUAGGAAUAGGCUUCCAUGAUUGGCUGGAGAGGGAGUCACCCGGCUGCACCAGUGUGGUUGUGGGUGCUGACAACGUGAGCCCCCAGACAGAUCCUUCACCCGGGGACUGUGUCCUGCCUUUAGUACAUGGACAUCACCCUCGUGGCCUGGAGAUGGUUUUCAAUGGCACACAAGGCAGAGUUAAGUAUUACUAAAUCCUAAAGUGAGAGAGACCUGGCUUUGCACUGCUUUUUAAAGAAAGUCUUAAUUGGGUGCUAAUCUGUCUUUACCACCUUCUCUGACGCCCGGACUCUCCCUUUGGACGAAGGGACCCAGAGAGCUCUGGCUCAGGCCCUCAGGCCCACUGUGUUGGAUCACAAGGUAAUGACAGUGCUUUGUGUUUGCUGGGUUAUUUUCUCCUUAUGGCGAAUGCUCUGACUUUUCAUUUAAGUUGUGAUAAACAGUUUCCCUUGAAAUCGAUUAAAGAUUGUACAGAGCAUGUCCAUCGGGAGGAAAAUAUUCAGGAAAUAACAGUGGAGGUCACAGACAGGUGCCGUCUGAAGUUUGGGAGUGGGAUCUGGGGAGCGAGCCCUGGGCAGCCGACCCCGCUUCCUCACUGUUGCUCUCUGACCUCGGGCCGUCCCUCCUCCUCUCCAACCCUCUGUUUUCUCCUCUGAAAACGCUUCCCCUCACCUUGCCUCAUCACAGGGUUUUGGCGAUGGUGAGACGGUGCCUCGGGUGGCCCCGGUCGUAUCUGCUGUCCGUGUCAAAGGCAAGUAGGUGAGAGCAAGUUGAAAAUUUCCCCUGGAGUGAGAGAAGGUGAGUAUUGAUUUAUUAUGCAGAGGAAAAAUCUCUCACCGCCCAGGUCCCUCGGAGGUUUGGGCCGAUCACUUGCAGGAGAGGUUCUGGGACCUCUUUCCCCUCUGCUACUCCCCGACUCCCCAACUCCCCCGGAGGCUUCGCAACACUAGCAGUGGAGUGAGAGGCGUUCAGCCAGGUUCUCAGGUUUGGUGAUGUUGGAGGAACAACUUUUUUUUGGAGACAAGGUCUCACUCUGUAUCCCCAGCUGGCCUUGAACGCUUGGGGGUCCUCCUGCCUCAGCCUCCCCAGUGCUGGGAUUACAGGUGUGCGCCACCACGCCCGGCCUGGGGAGAGUUUUGAAGUGGAUGGUCACAGGGUCUCAGUAUUGAGAUUUACAGACCGAGCUCUGGAGACAUGCACUGCCCCUGGAAUAAUGUGUGAGUGAGUGUGCACGAGUGUGUGUGCUGGGGGGUGCAUGUGUGCGCACGCACGUGCGCGCGCGCACCCACACACACACACACACACACACACACACACACACAGAAGUCCAGCCUGGUGAUCGGGCUGAGCCCCCGACCUUCGGAGGGCGUCUGGGCUGCACCCUCUCCUCCCAUCCCCCUCUCCUCGCGCCAGCCAGCACCCGGUGUUUUCCCUCGAUGACAUUUGGAAUCUUUUAAUAGUUGUCACAUUAGCAUACAUUUGCAUACUUUAUGCUAAUCAGGCUAUUUAUUUUUGAAGAAGCACUUUGACUCCUGGGCCUUUUCUCACCGGGAUCUGUCGUUUCCUUUUUCCUGGAGACUGUUUCCUUGAUGGGCAGGGGACUUGUCCUGCCCCAGCCUAGGGCAGGGACCCCCUCGCCGACACGCACGUGGGAGAGACGGCCGCAGGCCUGGACGCUGAGGGUGCUUGCGCCGGGCUGAGGAGGGUGCUGGUUUCCUUCCUUCCUACUUCGCCCACACAGAGUGGUGUCUGGGCAGGAACUGCCUCGCCCCAAGGACAGGCUCUAAGCCAGGUGAGGUGGUAGCCGCCUGUCAUCCAGCUACUCUGGAGGCAGAGGCAGGAUGAUCUCCAGUCCAAGCCCAGCCUAGGCAACUUAGCCACUGAGCGAGAGUCCUCUCCUUGUUUCCCUGAGCAGCGGGGAGCCAGGCCGGGUCUGUCUUCGGCGGGAGCGCUUGGACUCCAGACUUCACAUGCCUCUGUCUCCCCUCGACCUCUGCUUCUCUGGUACUCAGUUUCUCUCUGCCCACCCUUGGCCCAGGGCUGGAUCCUGGGGUCCUUUCCUCCUCCACCUCCUCAUGUGGCUCCCUCAGUUUCUUUCUUUCUUUCUUUCUUUCUUUCUUUCUUUCUUUCUUUCUUUCUUUCUUUCUUUCUUCCUGUCUUUUUGAGACAGGGUCUCGCUCUGUAGUUCAGGCUGGCCUUGAGCUCACUUUGUAGCCCAGGUAGUCUUGAACUCCCAAGAAUCCUCCUGCCUCAGCCUCCUGAAUGCUGGGGUUACAGGCGUGCGCCACCAUGCCUGGCUCCCUCAGUGCUUUAAAUACAUCUGCACCCUAAGACAACCACAGUCUCCUCUCCAGCCCCAGCACCCCACAGCUCCAAACUCGGGGUGCAGCUGCCCCAGACAUCUCUUCACAGGGCUCUCAGGCAUCGUGCCCAAACAUCUCCCCAGAUCUGCUCUUCCUACGACCCCCUGAAUCUUGGCUGGGCUCAGCACUUGCACCUGCUCAGACAGAAUCUUGGGGCCUGCCCUCUCUUCUUUCUUUCACCCCAAACCUACAGCAAGCCUCAAUACUUCCCCUGUAAGGAGUUCAUGGUACAUGCUUGUGAUCCCAGCACUCUGGAAGGCUGAGGCAGGAGGAUCUCAAAUUCAAACCCAAUCUGGGCAACUCAGCAACUCAAUGAGAUUUUGUCUCAAAGUAAAAAAUAAAAAGGGCUGGGGAUGGAAGUCAGUAAGAAAACCUGGGUUCCAUCCCUAACAGCCCAAAGUAAAAACCAAAAUCAGCACAAUCCUAAUGCCACCCCCCAACCUACCCUCACAAAGCUCUCCAGAGUCCUCUCUCUGGCCCCAAAGAAAGACUUAAACCCAGUCUGGAGCAGUGAUAUUUGCAAUACAUUAAGUUUAAACAUUUUCAAUAAAGGAAAAGAAAUCCGGC
Molecule: long non-coding RNA, 3149 nt
Filed under: Chinchilla lanigera (long-tailed chinchilla)
Lineage: Eukaryota; Metazoa; Chordata; Mammalia; Rodentia; Chinchillidae
Description: lncRNA (ENSCLAG00000028234.1)
Source: RNAcentral